Molecule: long non-coding RNA, 448 nt
Filed under: Mytilus galloprovincialis (Mediterranean mussel)
Lineage: Eukaryota; Metazoa; Mollusca; Bivalvia; Mytilida; Mytilidae
Source: RNAcentral
GUUCGUUUUUAAAAUUAGUAAAUAAUUUAAAUUAGUUUGUGAAGUUACACCAAGGUACAAAAAUGGAGUUUCAGCACGUACCGACACGUAAAUUAAUGAAUUUAUCAAUACUGUUACCUUUAUUAAAGAUUAGCUAUGUUUUAACAUUUUAACAUUUUCAUCUGUAUAUAUUUCUAGGAUUAAGUGCUUGUGCAUAAUAAACGGACUUAUCUUGCUCGAAAUCCCACUUCCACCUCAUCGUUGGUGAGCAGAGGACUAAGACUAACGGAAUGAGUACUUAUACUUGUAAAUGAUUGAACACAUUACAAAUAAAUAAGUAUUAUUACCUGUACUUUACCUGAGUUUACCUGUCAAAAAAAUGUGCGCAAUUGUAAUCAAAAGCUGCGCGCAAACGUAAUGAUUUUUGCGCGCAAAUGUAAUGGUAAUGCGCGCAAACGUAAUGCACCGA